UAUUCACCCUUGUCUUUUGCGUACUUCUUGUUUCCUUGGUGGGUUCGCCCACCACUAGGACAAACAUAAACCUUUUGUAAUUGCAAUCAGCGUCAGUAACAAAUUAAUAAUUACAACUUUCAACAACGGAUCUCUUGGUUCUGGCAUCGAUGAAGAACGCAGCGAAAUGCGAUAAGUAGUGUGAAUUGCAGAAUUCAGUGAAUCAUCGAAUCUUUGAACGCACAUUGCGCCCUUUGGUAUUCCAAAGGGCAUGCCUGUUCGAGCGUCAUUUGUACCCUCAAGCUUUGCUUGGUGUUGGGCGUCUUGUCUCUAGCUUUGCUGGAGACUCGCCUUAAAGUAAUUGGCAGCCGGCCUACUGGUUUCGGAGCGCAGCACAAGUCGCACUCUCUAUCAGCAAAGGUCUAGCAUCCACUAAGCCUUUUUUUCAACUUUUGACCUCGGAUCAGGUAGGGAUACCCGCUGAACUUAAGCAU
Molecule: ribosomal RNA, 473 nt
Filed under: Alternaria sp. IK-2015
Lineage: Eukaryota; Fungi; Ascomycota; Dothideomycetes; Pleosporales; Pleosporaceae
Description: eukaryotic LSU rRNA
Rfam family: 5.8S ribosomal RNA (bases 115-268)
Source: RNAcentral